Long non-coding RNA from Daphnia carinata, 771 nucleotides. RefSeq lists it as uncharacterized. The transcript is spliced from 5 exons. The record is from RefSeq and is a predicted model, not a curated record. Lineage: Eukaryota; Metazoa; Arthropoda; Branchiopoda; Diplostraca; Daphniidae.
GAUAGACCGUCCUCGCUAGAUUUUACUUCUUGACCUCUCUAUAUAAUCUUAUUUGUUUCAUUCUGUUCUACAUUUUUUCUGUCCAGGGUCACAAGUGUGAAGGACAUUUUGCCAGUGUCCACAAGCUGGUGGGGGCGGCGGUAAUGGUCCGUUGACGUCACAAAUAUGGGGAAGCGGGAAAUUUGUCGAAGGAUUGUCCACGAGAGGGUCGCGGCGGUGGUGGAAGUCGUACCUGCCAUGAGAUAAACAAAAAACUAAAAAAACAUCAUUUUUAGCGCUCAUUUUUAACGAAGAAGAGGGCAAUAUAGCAAGGGAUUUUCCUCAAGGAGGAAGCACUAGUGGCAGCAAUGGUUAUGAUUGUAAUGAAGCUGACCACACCUCGAAAGGCUGCCCGAAUCUCUUCAGUGAAUUGACGGAAGAUGGAAAGGCACAUGAGCAAUACAUUCCAGAAGCUGUGACAUGCGAUGAAAAGGAACUAUUUAAGGGCAUUGUCUAUGUGAGAACGCUUUAACAAUUUUUAUAAAGUCAUCCUCCAUGCUACAGGAAAAGAUGUACUUCAAUACAUAACAUCAUUCGAAGAAGCCGUCCUGCACAACUACUACUUCAAAACAUUAAGAAUUCUGGCUACAUAAAACCAACAUCUGUUCAGAAAGCUUCAGUUGUAGUUAUUCUUGCCAAAAGAGGUUUAAUUGCUUGUGCGGUCACGGGCUCCGGAAAAACGGUAAUCCAACUAAUUAACGGUGUGUAAUUUUGAAACCUUGAUGCCCUCGU